This is a long non-coding RNA of Aplysia californica (California sea hare), 1340 nucleotides long. RefSeq lists it as uncharacterized. The record is from RefSeq and is a predicted model, not a curated record. Lineage: Eukaryota; Metazoa; Mollusca; Gastropoda; Aplysiida; Aplysiidae. The transcript is spliced from 3 exons.
CAUCCUGUGGUAGGUGUGUGGAUAGCCUAUAAGAUCACCUAUUGAACUGGAAGACUGCAAAUACAAAGUGAUGAAUGAUGGGCAGCCUGAGAAGGUAAUUGUUCUUGAAAUAUUAUUUCUUGCAAUUCUACUCACUGAAUUAUUAAGAAAUUAUGUAACAUAUUAUUUAUGUAAUAACUAAAAGAACAUUCAUUAUUGGGUGAGAAAUUUUCAUUUCUUUCUUCAACACGAUUCUGGUGGGACGCAUGUGGGGCUGGAGGACCGAUGGAUUGUGUACAGGACAGGAGUUCUGCCUGCAGGACCGGGAGACCGACGAUAGGACCCAUGGACCGUUUAUAACGAGACUGUCAAGAAUCGAGAAGUGAUGAAAGAUCAGCAUCAGAAGGUAUUUGUCUUUGAUAUGUCUUGCAACACUAUUCACUGAGACUUAAGUUCCAUUUCAGGACAUUAUUUAACUCAUAAUGAUUAUAAAAUUAGAAUACCCAUCGAUGAGGUAGUGUUCAACUUGAAAAGUCGGAAAUCUACUCUCUAAGUGAUCUAAAUUGUGUUGAUUUGUAAAAAACUCCCACUCUAAAAAACCCACCAAAUUAAAGUAAACUCUUUUCAUAAGCAUUAAUUUGUCUUAUUGAUCAGUACUAAUCAAACAAAAUUUCAAGAUUGUUUGAAACUAUUAUUUGACACAGAGGAUUUUUUUACGCAACAUCACCAGGAUUUUCCACAGGGCAGGAAGACCGUGCAGAGGUCCAGAGAACUGCCUGCAGGACUAGGGGAUCAGACAGGACCGGAGGGUUGCCAACAUGACUGUAGGACUGUCUAUUUCGACUGUGUGUUGAAAUAUUAGAAGUGAUGAAUGAUGAUCAGUCUCAAAAGGACUGUCUCCAGCACCUGUUCAUCGCCUUCAGGAUCAGAAGAUUGUCCAUAUCCACUUUAUCGUGAAAAAAGAUGUUGUAGAACGAUCAGCCUCAAAAGAUUACUUUCACUCGUCGGACUUUUCGGUAAGAAGGCACUGGUGCUCUCAGUAAGUCUACCACAGAAGGUAGGUCAUAUAAACAGCUGGUAGUGUUUAUUUGAUCCAGCAUCAUUGAAACAGUAAUGGCAGUGCAGCACCAACAAGCUGCAAAGAACAAGCCAGUAUGCAAAAUUCUCUUCCAACACUCAAGCUCAAAAUCAUUAGGCAGCUCUUCCCACCCAAUUCUACUUCUGUCACCCCCUUCCCCCUUUAAAAGACCCCUAUCUACACUGCACUGGCCCUGUAAGGAUAGGUUGAUAGGAAGCUAGGUGGACAGGCUAGGUUCAGAGUAGGAUUUUGUAAAUGGUAUUGCCAUGGCCAUGGCGGGAGA